GACGAACGCUGGCGGCGUGCUUAACACAUGCAAGUCGAACGGAAAGGCCCUGCUUUUGUGGGGUGCUCGAGUGGCGAACGGGUGAGUAACACGUGAGUAACCUGCCCUUGACUUUGGGAUAACUUCAGGAAACUGGGGCUAAUACCGGAUAGGAGCUCCUGCUGCAUGGUGGGGGUUGGAAAGUUUCGGCGGUUGGGGAUGGACUCGCGGCUUAUCAGCUUGUUGGUGGGGUAGUGGCUUACCAAGGCUUUGACGGGUAGCCGGCCUGAGAGGGUGACCGGCCACAUUGGGACUGAGAUACGGACCAGAAUCCUACGGGAGGCAGCAGUGGGGAAUAUUGCACAAUGGGCGGAAGCCUGAUGCAGCAGCGCCGCGUGCGGGAUGACGGCCUUCGGGUUGUAAACCGCUUUCGCCUGUGACGAAGCGUGAGUGACGGUAAUGGGUAAAGAAGCACCGGCUAACUACGUG
This 468-nucleotide ribosomal RNA is filed under the name uncultured bacterium. Its description in RNAcentral is "partial 16S ribosomal RNA". It matches the Rfam family "Bacterial small subunit ribosomal RNA", at positions 28 to 507 of the family's 1533-position model. The record is from RNAcentral.